This 497-nucleotide ribosomal RNA is filed under the name uncultured bacterium. RNAcentral describes it as "partial 16S ribosomal RNA". It matches the Rfam family "Bacterial small subunit ribosomal RNA", at positions 28 to 507 of the family's 1533-position model. The record is from RNAcentral.
GAUGAACGCUGGCGGCGUGCCUAAUACAUGCAAGUCGAGCGAACGGACGAGAAGCUUGCUUCUCUGAUGUUAGCGGCGGACGGGUGAGUAACACGUGGAUAACCUACCUAUAAGACUGGGAUAACUUCGGGAAACCGUAGCUAAUACCGGAUAAUAUUUUGAACCGCAUGGUUCAAAAGUGAAAGACAGUCUUGCUGUCACUUAUAGAUGGAUCCGCGCUGCAUUAGCUAGUUGGUAAGGUAACGGCUUACCAAGGCAACGAUGCAUAGCCGACCUGAGAGGGUGAUCGGCCACACUGGAACUGAGACACGGUCCAGACUCCUACGGGAGGCAGCAGUAGUGAAUCUUCCGCAAUGGGCGAAAGCCUGACGGAGCAACGCCGCGUGAGUGAUGAAGGUCUUCGGAUCGUAAAACUCUGUUAUUAGGGAAGAACAGAUGUGUAAGUAACUGUGCACAUCUUGACGGUACCUAAUCAGAAAGCCACGGCUAACUACGUG